Long non-coding RNA from Ipomoea nil (Japanese morning glory), 101 nucleotides. RefSeq lists it as uncharacterized. The record is from RefSeq and is a predicted model, not a curated record. NCBI's taxonomy places the organism in Eukaryota, Viridiplantae, Streptophyta, Magnoliopsida, Solanales, Convolvulaceae. The transcript is spliced from 3 exons.
CUGAACAUUAUCAAAUUGAUUUUUGCUCACCUUGGGAUAAGGACAUUCGGCCAUAAAGUGUCCAGGUUUUCUACAGUUGUAGCAUAAAUUCGAAUUCUCCU